GGUACUUCAUAUGUUUUCUGCCCCUAGCCAGUUCAGGUACUUCAUAUGUUUUCCACCCCUAGCCAGUUCAGGUACUUCAUAUGUUUUCCGCCCCUAGCCAGUUCAGGUACUUCAUAUGAUUUCUGCCCCUAGCCAGUUCAGGUACUUCAUAUGAUUUCUGCCCCUAGCCAGUUCAGGUACUUCAUAUGAUUUCCGCCCCUAGCCAGUUCAGGUACUUCAUAUGAUUUCUGCCUCUAGCCAGUUCAGGUACUUCAUAUGAUUUCUGCCCCUAGCCAGUUCAGGUACUUCAUAUGAUUUCUGCCCCUAGCCAGUUCAGGUACUUCAUAUGAUUUCUGCCUCUAGCCAGUUCAGGUACUUCAAAUGAUUUCUACCCCUAGCCAGUUCAGGUACUUCAAAUGAUUUCUACCCCUAGCCAGUUCAGGUACUUCAUACGAUUUCUACCCCUAGCCAGUUCAGGUUCUUC
Molecule: long non-coding RNA, 463 nt
Organism: Ictalurus punctatus (channel catfish)
Lineage: Eukaryota; Metazoa; Chordata; Actinopteri; Siluriformes; Ictaluridae
Source: Ensembl